UGGAGAGUUUGAUCCUGGCUCAGGACGAACGCUGGCGGCGUGCUUAACACAUGCAAGUCGAACGAUGAAGCCUUCGGGUGGAUUAGUGGCGAACGGGUGAGUAACACGUGGGCAAUCUGCCCUGUACUUUGGGAUAAGCCUGGGAAACUGGGUCUAAUACCGGAUAUCACYGACCYUCGCAUGGGGGUUGGUUGAAAGUUCUGGCGGUACAGGAUGAGCCCGCGGCCUAUCAGCUUGUUGGUGGGGUAAUGGCCUACCAAGGCGACGACGGGUAGCCGGCCUGAGAGGGUGACCGGCCACACUGGGACUGAGACACGGCCCAGACUCCUACGGGAGGCAGCAGUGGGGAAUAUUGCACAAUGGGCGAAAGCCUGAUGCAGCGACGCCGCGUGAGGGAUGACGGCCUUCGGGUUGUAAACCUCUUUCGCCAGGGACGAAGCGCAAGUGACGGUACCUGGAUAAGAAGCACCGGCUAACUACGUGCCAGCAGCCGCGGUA
Molecule: ribosomal RNA, 498 nt
Filed under: Amycolatopsis sp. CP2808
Lineage: Bacteria; Bacillati; Actinomycetota; Actinomycetes; Pseudonocardiales; Pseudonocardiaceae
Description: bacterial SSU rRNA
Rfam family: Bacterial small subunit ribosomal RNA
Source: RNAcentral